This 120-nucleotide ribosomal RNA is filed under the name uncultured bacterium. RNAcentral describes it as "partial 16S ribosomal RNA". It matches the Rfam family "Bacterial small subunit ribosomal RNA", at positions 336 to 455 of the family's 1533-position model. The record is from RNAcentral.
CUCCUACGGGAGGCAGCAGUGGGGAAUCUUGCGCAAUGGGCGGAAGCCUGACGCAGCGACGCCGCGUGGGGGAUGAAGGCCUUCGGGUUGUAAACCUCUUUCAGCAGGGACGAAGUUGAC